CACGGGUGCGUAACGCGUAUGCAACCUGCCCCCACUCAGGGGAAGUAGCCCGCCGAAAGGCGGAUUAAGUGCCCCCAUAGGCCCAGGGCGCCGCAUGGCGCUAUGGGUAAAGCUCCGGCGGAUGGGGAUGGGCAUGCGUGCCAUUAGCUAGUUGGGGCGGUAACGGCGCACCAAGGCGACGAUGGCUAGGGGGUCUGAGAGGAUGGUCCCCCACACUGGUACUGAGACACGGACCAGACUCCUACGGGAGGCAGCAGUGAGGAAUAUUGGUCAAUGGGCGGAAGCCUGAACCAGCCAAUGCCGCGUGCAGGAUGACGGCCCUACGGGUUGUAAACUGCUUUUCCCCGGGAAGAAUAAGCCCCUCGUGAGGGGUGAUGCCGGUACCGGGGGAAUAAGGAUCGGCUAACUCCGUGCCAGCCGCCGC
RNAcentral lists this ribosomal RNA (424 nucleotides) under uncultured bacterium. Its description in RNAcentral is "bacterial SSU rRNA". It matches the Rfam family "Bacterial small subunit ribosomal RNA", at positions 100 to 518 of the family's 1533-position model. The record is from RNAcentral.